Molecule: unclassified non-coding RNA, 379 nt
Filed under: uncultured Pseudomonadota bacterium
Lineage: Bacteria; Pseudomonadati; Pseudomonadota
Description: uncultured proteobacterium contains 16S-23S intergenic spacer region
Source: RNAcentral
UCCGAGUUGACCCCGGCAGUCUCCUACGAGUCCCCGGCAUUACCCGCUGGCAACAUAGGACAAGGGUUGCGCUCGUUGCGGGACUUAACCCAACAUUUCACAACACGAGCUGACGACAGCCAUGCAGCACCUGUGUGCAGGUCCCCGAAGGGAAGGAGCCCGUCUCCGGACACCGUCCUGCCAUGUCAAGGGCUGGUAAGGUUCUGCGCGUUGCUUCGAAUUAAACCACAUGCUCCACCGCUUGUACGGGCCCCCGUCAAUUCUUUUGAGUUUUAACCUUGCGGCCGUACUCCCCAGGCGGUCAACUUCACGCGUUAGCUUCGUUACCAAGGAAUUGCUUCCCCGACAACCAGUUGACAUAGUUUAGGGCGUGGACUAC